Molecule: long non-coding RNA, 521 nt
Organism: Bradysia coprophila
Lineage: Eukaryota; Metazoa; Arthropoda; Insecta; Diptera; Sciaridae
Source: RefSeq, a predicted model, not a curated record
CGCUACAAAUCAAAAUAUCGAUAAGAAAUACACCACCACCCUAUCGGUCGAUGAUGUCACCAGUCAGUCAUUGGCCUAACCAAGUUUGCAUCUGUUGACAGCUGCAUAUCAAGUUUAAGUUCAAGGUUGAAAACGAAAGUUUUGUUGUUGAAGGAGUGCAAAGUAAAAUAUCUAAAUUCCGUGAUCAUCGGAAUCAGUUUUAGUUCCAAAGUACGAAAAUAAUUCUAAGUCAAACAGUUACGAUCGUGUGUGUGAAGAUUUGUGAAACGUCGAUAGAACGCGGCUAACUCAUCUGCUUGAAAGACCGUUCCUGCAAACAGGACAUCCAACGGUGUCAAGUCUUAAGCUUUGAGGUUAGUUUCCCACACGAUCGCGCGAGUCAAAUUAGAAAUCCGCACGGAAAGUACCAAAGUAUUUUUAAGCGGUUCAAAACAAUAAACACAAAAUCAAGAAUCCGGUUUUGUUUUGAUUGGAACGAGCUAUAAUAAUUUUGGACAGUCGGAUUUCUGGAGCUCAAAGGC